This 408-nucleotide ribosomal RNA is filed under the name uncultured bacterium. Its description in RNAcentral is "bacterial SSU rRNA". It matches the Rfam family "Bacterial small subunit ribosomal RNA", at positions 120 to 526 of the family's 1533-position model. The record is from RNAcentral.
GGGAAUCUACCUUGUAGUGGGGGAUAGCCCGGAGAAAUCCGAUUAAUACCGCAUAAUCUCUACGGAGCAAAGUGGGGGAUCUUCGGACCUCACGCUAUUAGAUGAGCCCGCGUUGGAUUAGCUUGUUGGUGGGGUAAUGGCUCACCAAGGCGACGAUCCAUAGCUGGUUUGAGAGGAUGAUCAGCCACACUGGGACUGAGACACGGCCCAGACUCCUACGGGAGGCAGCAGUGGGGAAUAUUGGACAAUGGGCGCAAGUGAUCCAGCAAUGCCGCGUGUGUGAAGAAGGCCCGAGGGUUGUAAAGCACUUUCAAUAGAGACGAAAAGCUCAGGAUUAAUACCCCUGAGUCUUGACUUAACCUAUAGAAGAAGCACCGGCUAACUCCGUGCCAGCAGCCGCGGUAAUAC